This is a long non-coding RNA of Aethalodelphis obliquidens (Pacific white-sided dolphin), 2434 nucleotides long. RefSeq lists it as uncharacterized. The record is from RefSeq and is a predicted model, not a curated record. NCBI's taxonomy places the organism in Eukaryota, Metazoa, Chordata, Mammalia, Artiodactyla, Delphinidae. The transcript is spliced from 3 exons.
GAGUCGGCCCCGCCUCUGAGCUCCUUCCCGGGAGCCGCUGGUGUCUGACGGUCGCAGAGCCCUUGGCUGUGGGACACACAGGUGGACACGUAACUCGCUUUCUGGGACGAUCGGAGGUGGGUUGGGAAGGCCGCGGGUGAACAGCCCACCUGGAGCGACUGUGACCCCCCUGGUGAGGGCUGGCAAGAGGGUGCAUGUGGGGGUCUGGGUGCAAAGGAGAAGCAGCCUCGGCCGGCGGUGAACUCAGUCCCGUGGAGACAGACAUGUGGCCGACACAUCACCUCGUCCACGUGGCCCAGCAGCUCCCAGAGCCGCGACCCCUCUCCUCUCCCGCGCCCUCGCCUGGCCGUGCCCCUGUGGCAGCCUGACCAGCACGUGGUCUCUUCCCGAGACGAGCCCCUCUGGCCUCCUGGGCUCUCAGGAAUCAGUGCUGGACGGUGGGGGCAUGAACAGCAAGCCCACACACCUGCUUUUCUAUGCCCCCUUUUCUCUGUUUCCUUCCUUCUUUCCAAGGUGCCCCUCCAGCAGCCCCCAGGCUCCUCGUCCUCUGUGUGAAGUUUGGGGGCUGCAGGGACUGUUUCUGGGCCUCAGGUCUCCUGACUACGCCCUCCCUGGGUGAGUACUGACCCCCCACCACUUUAAGUAUGGCCCCUACCGGGUGAGGGAGGGGCCCUGCCCUAGGGUCAUGGGAUGGCUGAGUACAGGACACAUGACACUGAGGUCACCCAGACUCACGGCCCUGGGGGAGGACGCGGUGCACUUGGGGACAGAGGGGACAGCUGGGAGGCCUCAUAGUAUCGAGGGGGGUGGUGACUCCUGGCUCCCAUGGAAGGAUGUGGUGGGCUUGUCUGACUCUCCCACAGGCUGGCAGGAGACUGAAGUUCACUGCUCAGAGAUAAUCCACCUGCAAGUACUACUCUCAACUCCUCUAUUUCCAUGGCCACCUUUCUAGCAGCACCACCCAACCCUCGCCUGGCUGCCAAGUGGCCUCUCUUCCUCCGCUCCUGUCCUCCGGUGACUCAUCCCACAGGGCACGUUCAUGGCCUCGCUCACCCACUCGGAAAGAGGGAGAGGCAGCUGGAAAGUCGAGGAAAACCAAGAACGACCCGGGAAUCGUGGCACCGUCGGCAACGUGGCGGGACUGUGAGUUCCCAGCGGGGCAGGAGAAAAGAGGGUCCAUUUGCCCCUGAUGCCAGGACACCGCUCCUUUCUGACCACAGACUUGUGAAGAAGAAACUGUAACCGCAGCAGCCUGCUGGGCUGUGCAGAGAGAAACAGCGGCAGCGCCGCGUCCUGCGUGGAUUGAUCUUUAAUCGCCUUCGAGUUUUAGAGUCAGUUGACAGACAGGGAGCGGCGUCGCAGGAGCACACACGGUGGGUCGGGGGGACAACUGGAUGCCAGUUCCCUCCCUUUUUCCUGUUCGUGCCUCCGCCAGGUGAGCCAGCCUGGCCCGGGCAGGAUGUCUCACUCUGCCUGCAGCUCCCGGGGGUCACAUCUCAGUGACGUCCAGUCUCCCUGGGGACCUCGAUUUCCUUCCCGGCUCUGCCUGACGGCCUCUCAUCCACGUGGCCCCUAGAGCUCGUGUGGUCUCUGUCCUCGGCCCAGGACCCCCGUGCCCGUGGGCCGGAACAACCUCAUUCUCCUCUGGAGCCCAGUUCUCGCAUGACACCCUGCGGAGCCUUGAGCCGGAGUCAGCCCAGCUGCUUGGCCUUCUCAGCUCUUCCUGGCCCUGCCCUGCUUUCCCCCGAGUAGUGCAGGGCCUGGCUCCGAGCUGGCGCCCAGAGGACCGUGGCUGGGUGCGCUACGUGCAGAAUAUUCUGUAUCAGGGGCUCCGUCUCCCCACACCCUGGCCGAGGGCAUCAGUGGCCCCGUGUCACACAGGGACAGAGGCCCAAGGCUGAGAUGUCUCCCGGGGCCCCAGGGCUGCAGGGCCAGGCCUGGAGCUCACGGCUGUGCUUGGCUAGCAGGUCCCGGUUCUCUCUCAGACCAGGCCAGGGAUCCCCACCUUCUUUGAAGGUCAGUAGUCUUUGAAGGCCACUUCAAGCCACAUGCUCCACAGGGGAGCUGGCAGCAGGGAGGGGCGCUUUUGGUGGGGGGAGCCAGGCUGCACUGAGCUUACCCACUGCUUCCCUGUGCCACACAGCCAGGCUCUCAGGGCGGAGGCAUCGGGGCAGAGGAGGUGGGCGCCAGCUGGGGGAGAGCAGGGCUGGGCCGGGUCCGCGCUCCCAGGCUGCCUGGGUCCCUCAGAGCCGCGCGCAGCCUCUGCCGGGAGGUCCGGCAGGCUCCGCCUGGCACCGUCAGACACCACGAUUUUUCUUCUGGGAAUUAGUAAAUUCUCACUAAUUUCCCCAAACAUUACCAGAGUCUGUUUUCUUAAAGUACAAACAUAUACAGUACGUUCAUCAUUUAAAAUAUCAUUUCCUUAAUGGUUGGA